AUUUAAAUAGCUUAUGUUUAGAGCAUGGUAGUGAAGUUACCAAGGAGAUUUUUUAAUCUUUAAAUA
This 66-nucleotide transfer RNA is filed under the name Polygraphus poligraphus. RNAcentral's name for it is "tRNA-Phe". The record is from RNAcentral. Lineage: Eukaryota; Metazoa; Arthropoda; Insecta; Coleoptera; Curculionidae.